Aegilops tauschii subsp. strangulata is the source of this 1685-nucleotide non-coding RNA. Lineage: Eukaryota; Viridiplantae; Streptophyta; Magnoliopsida; Poales; Poaceae. The record is from RefSeq and is a predicted model, not a curated record.
GAUAGAAAAAUACCAGCCCAGGUAACACCUUCCUGAUAGAAAAAUAGCGAUGGGAAACAGCGGGCGAGUGAGCGAAACAGCCAGCGACUGAACGAGCCCGCGCCCCUCCCCCUCCUCCCACUUCAGGAACCCUAGCCGCCGCCUCGUCCUCCUCCUCCCACCUCGAGCUUCCCGACGACGGUGGCGCUGGCUCAAGGCGGGGGCGGUUGGAUCGAGGCGUGGGAGCGGCGGAUGCGGCGUCGGUGGCGGCACGAGAAGAACAUCGGUUGCAGCCAAUUCGAUGACCUGAUCAAAACGAAAAUACAUCUGGAUUAGUCGCCAUUAGUCCUGGUCUCCCACGCAUGUAAAAAGAGAAAACAAGGAACAUGUUGAAUACGAGAGUGCUACCAAAGGAAACCAAUGAAAAAUCAUGUCGGCGUACAGCCCGCCGGCGGGGCCUGCAAAAGGCGAUGUCGCUUUCUGGUGGAGGGUGGCCAUGGACGUGUUGCAGGCGCUGGGGUGGCGCGGUGGCGUGAGCUCGGAUGUACUCAGGAGCGCUUCAUGUGUGACAAAGAUAAAUAGCAUUGGAUGAAGCAGCUUGACGAGCUCCUCCUUUACGCUGUCGGGCGCUGGCUGCAUCCAGUGUUGCCACAUGCUAGGUAGUGUUAUCGUGCAAGUUUAGUCUAGAUGCUAAAUCAAGUCGGCAUUGAUUAUUACUAUGAAACAGUUGUGUUGUGCCAUGUCGAGUUGCUAGCAUACUUAGAAACAAACCUAACCGACUUUAUUUUUUAUUAUGGCAAUAUCAUGUUAUUGCUAUAACUAAAUGGUGAUUAUCUAGGUUACCUCUUGGCAUCGGCAAUAUAGUAAAAAGAUUCCAGAUAUCAUUUAAAUGCAGACAAAAUAUUGUUGGUAGCUGCUAAGAUAAGUUGACAAUGUUACCCAGUCUUCAUGUCUGGACUUCCUGAUGUUUUCCUUACCUCAGCAGUAUUGAGGUCUGAUCAUAUUUUUGCUGCAUGACUCAGGAACAUUGUGUUGACUGUUAAGUUGGACCGCGGGUUGUCUUACAUGCCUAUAAUGCAGAGUACAACCCAAAGGUGUAAUACAACUGCUGAUGCUUAUCCCCUUCUGCUUCGAAGCUAAAUCAUAGAUUGAAGUUAUGAACUUUGACUCCAUCAUCUGUUUUCUUUUACAAUGUUUUGUUGCGGUUAUCAUGAGGAUAAGGGACCCCAAGAGGACAGCUAUUUGCUUCAGGAAAGAUGCGCAGUAUGCAUGGAUUAUCCAGAAUCUUGGUCUCCCUUGAUUUGGUUCAGAAGAUGAUGGCAGAGGUUAGUCGGGCCAUAGGAUCCUAGAAAAUUCAGAGUUAAGGCACAUAUUUUCACGAGUUACUUUCCAAUUUUGUAUGCACAAUUUUUUGGGUAGCAAUAUGUUUGGAUUCUUGAUUCAAAGCACCUAUCUAUCUUUCAUGUCAUGUCAGCCUACUGAGAAGCUCAUAACAGAUAUUGCAGUACUAGAGCUAGAAUUCAUAUGCUUGGAGCAGCAUCUCCGGACACUCUACCGGCAUUCCUUUUACCAACAAUUAUGUGAUACGAUUUCUGCUUAGCUUUUGCCUAUGUUGGUCGAUGAUACGUCUCCAACGUAUCUAUAAUUUUUGAUUGUUCCAUGCUAUUAUAUAUUCUGUUUUGGAUGUUUAAUGGGCUUUAUUAUAC